UACGAAGGGGGCUAGCGUUGCUCGGAAUGACUGGGCGUAAAGGGCGUGUAGGCGGUUUGUACAGUCAGAUGUGAAAUCCCCGGGCUUAACCUGGGAGCUGCAUUUGAUACGUGCAGACUAGAGUGUGAGAGAGGGUUGUGGAAUUCCCAGUGUAGAGGUGAAAUUCGUAGAUAUUGGGAAGAACACCGGUGGCGAAGGCGGCAACCUGGCUCAUAACUGACGCUGAGGCGCGAAAGCGUGGGGAGCAAACAGG
RNAcentral lists this ribosomal RNA (253 nucleotides) under uncultured bacterium. RNAcentral's name for it is "partial 16S ribosomal RNA". It matches the Rfam family "Bacterial small subunit ribosomal RNA", at positions 524 to 776 of the family's 1533-position model. The record is from RNAcentral.